UUAACCUAGGAUUCAAGGGUGAAUGUACUAGGGAUUGAACUUGACUUAUUUCCCGUUCUAGGGUUCAGUUCGUUAAAUUCAAGAUUCUAUAGUGAAUGUACUAGGGAUUCAGCUUGACUUAUUUCUCAUUCCAACGUGCGAUCCGCUUGCCUUAGGAUGCAAAUGGUUGAUGUACUAGAGAUUUAGCUUGACUUAUUUUCCAGUCCAAGGUGCGAUCCAUUUGCAUCAGGAUGCUAAGGGUGAAUGUACUAGGGUUUCAGCUGGACUUAUUAACCGUUACAACGU
RNAcentral lists this long non-coding RNA (285 nucleotides) under Linum usitatissimum (flax). RNAcentral's name for it is "long non-coding RNA (LUSI_LNC003677)". The record is from RNAcentral. Lineage: Eukaryota; Viridiplantae; Streptophyta; Magnoliopsida; Malpighiales; Linaceae.